This 3015-nucleotide long non-coding RNA is filed under the name Salmo salar (Atlantic salmon). Its description in RNAcentral is "lncRNA (ENSSSAG00000097916.1, ENSSSAG00000102015.1)". Lineage: Eukaryota; Metazoa; Chordata; Actinopteri; Salmoniformes; Salmonidae. The record is from RNAcentral.
CGGCUGGGCACAUUGGUAAACUAAUGUUAGCUAGCCAUGCUGCCUCAUGCUAGUUGUGUUAAACCAAGCUAUAGAUUCGUUUCAUUACUGGUAGCUAGCAUGUUUUAUCUAUCAGAGAUCAUUGCUUUGGUGAUUGAUUCGAUGGGUAGUCAUGGAUACAGCACACUACUGAUUACACAGUCAACGACGUGUGCCUCACCACGCAAUAAUUACUCCAAAUGCAUAUUCUCAUUAUUUAUUACAUACCUUUCAACUUCUGUUGGAAACUGGAACAAGGAUUUUCCUCCCUUCCAUUUUACAGUAAACAAGCUAGCCAGCUAGAUAUCUACUUGGGACAAGCUAGCUACCGCCAAGAAGAGGAUGAAGACCAUUUGUGCCUUGGUGAAUAUGCAUGACGAUCAUUAGGAAAACAUCCACUAUCUAGUGCACUCGUCCUAAACAACAUAAUCUCUAUAAACAAUUAGGAAAUGGCUUCCAGGAUUCAAAGCAGCUGAUUGGUCGGCCCCAUCGAAGAUUGGAGCUCUGACCCCUCCCUCUCGUCAGGGGAUACAGCUGUCUGCAAUUACCGACUCCUGCAGCUUGAAAAGCCAGUGUUCCUUUGUUAGGAGAGAGAGCUUCUUUGAUGUCCUGUGUUGGUUGUUGUUCAGAGACAGGUUUUGUAAAGUAUUUUGUAGUUGGUCCUGCUGAGGUAUGUCUAGGCCAAAAGGACUGUGUUUGUGAUUAUUGAAAUUGUUCACUUUAAGUUAGUAAUUAUUCUGUUUGUGUUCCCAGUGGGGAAGGGGAAGGCACCUUGGGAGUUUUUAGGCAAGAGGCCUGCGGGCAUACAUAUACCCGUAGUAUGUACUCUGUCUAUGCACACUAGGUAAGACCUGGGCGGACCACCCCCUGUAUUUUGGUUAGCGCACCAGGUGACAUUAAGAAUAGGAGACUGUUACCAUGGCCGCCAUUACCAUGGCCACCAUAACCCUGUCACUGCUUCUCCCCGCUGUUCUGCUCAGAACACUGACAGAGUGUAUGGAGUGAUGCCAGACCCCCUGUGAGAUUGCUAGAGAUGCUGCGGGGGCCUAACUUGAUUGGAGACUUCACCCUGCAGUGUGACAACCAGGGACAAUACACCCCUCAGCAGUGGCCAGGCUCUGCAGUUUCUGUUGGUGUGGACAGAAGAGCCCUGGUACUGAGUCCACCAGACACUGCUCACAUAAACUGUGAGAGGACAGGAUGCCGGUGGGCGGGUCGUCAGCUACAUGGGAAACACCUGGGCCCAGCUGCGGCGUCGACUUGGCCACAGGCGUCCUCCAUGGCCUGAAUGAGGGGUACCUGAGCCUGGGGCUGGAGAUCGUAAACCUUCCACCGCCAUGCAGAGAAACUCUUCGAUAGGGUUUAGAAACGGAGAGUAUGAUGGAAGGUAUAGUACUGUCAACUGUGGAUGGUGUUGAAACCAGUUCUAGACCAAAGCAGAGGUGAAAUGACACAUUGUCCCAGAUGACAGUAUUGCAUCUGGUGCAUUUCAUUACCUGCUGUGACGAUGUGGUGCAAUCGGUCCAAAAAUGCGAGAAUGUGAGGUGUGUUGUAAGGGCCUAUUUUGGCAUGAUGGAGGAGAACCCCAUGCUGUGAAAUGGCAGCGCAAAGGGUGAUGUUACCCACACGUUUCCCUGGGACAUUGAUUAUAGCCCUGUGGCCAAUGAUAUUUCUGCCUCUCCUUCUUGCUUUUGUGAGGUUGAACCCUGCCUCAUCAAUAUAUAUGAAUUCAUGCAGGAUUUCCUCAGCAUCCAUCUGCAAAACUCCCUGAAAUACAGUGAAAGACAAGAUUGUGUAGUUCAGGAUAGGUCUAGUAUACAGUCAAUGUAAAAAAGUAAUGUGUGCAGUAUGCAACAUCACAGUGCUAAAGUGAACAAUACAAACCUCCACAUACUCAUGCUGCAGCCGUUUGACCCUCUCUGAAUUCCGCUCAAAAGGCACUGGAUAAAGUUGUUUCAUUUGAACCUGAUGUCUUUUCAGGAUGCGUGCCAGUGUUGACUGAGAGGCCUGAUGGACAUUGAGAAUGGCAUGGUCACCGAUAAUGUUGGCUUGUAGUUCUGAGCCUGAUAGGAUUAUUGGCCAAAACCAUGUUUAUUAUCUCUCUUGUGCUUGCGUGAAUAUGGGCCCCCUUCCUCUUUGUCGUUCCCGACCCUCAAUCAUAUGUAGAGAAUAAUACAUGUAACUUACUGUACAAUGUCACAGGAAGGGGUAUCACAAGUGUUGAUAUGGUGCAUACAAUAAGCGGCUGAUUACUGUAACUGUAGACAGAUCUUCUUUUACCUGUUUUCCUGUCAAAAAGUCCUUAUGACAGAUGCCACUGUAUAUCUGCUAAGAUUUGGCUGAACUCAGUCCAGCCUCCCUCAGCAUCAAUCCGUGGUUCACAACAUGGUCCACUAGUGUUGCACGAAUGUCAAUUGGAUAAGUUUGAUUCUCUUAUUCUUUGUGCACGUUCUACUCCUGCUUCAGGUCUUCCUCUGGCUCGGCCUCUUCCUCUACCUCCUUCUCCUCUGUGUACUCCUCCUCUCACCCUCACUCUUCUUCUGACUCCUUCCAUUUUGGUUGAAGGCAGGUAAACCUACCUGCUGCAUUUUUAUAGUGCUUAAACCUGAUUGGUGUGUCUACAAUUUAGCAAUCGUGUUUGUGCACCUGAUGGCUGUGUUUAACUUCUCUACGGCCGGCGGGACGAAAUCGUCCCACCUACGUAACAGCCAGUGGAAUCCUGUGGCGCGUUAUUCAAAUACCUUAGAAAUGCUAUUACUUAAAUUUCUCAAACAUAUUACUAUUUUACAACAUUUUAAAGACAAGACUCUCGUUAAUCUAACCACACUGUCCGAUUUCAAAAAGGCUUUACAACGAAAGCAAAACAUUAGAUUAUGUCAGCAGAGUACCCAGCCAGAAAUAAUCAGACACCCAUUUUUCAAGCUAGCAUAUAAUGUCACAAAAACCCAGAAGACAGCUAAAUGCAGCACUAACCUUUGAUGAUCUUCAUCAGAUGAC